This 433-nucleotide ribosomal RNA is filed under the name uncultured bacterium. RNAcentral's name for it is "partial 16S ribosomal RNA". It matches the Rfam family "Bacterial small subunit ribosomal RNA", at positions 29 to 507 of the family's 1533-position model. The record is from RNAcentral.
AACGAACGCUGGCGGCAUGCCUAACACAUGCAAGUCGAACGAGACCUUCGGGUCUAGUGGCGCACGGGUGCGUAACGCGUGGGAACCUGCCCUUAGGUUCGGAAUAACUCCCCGAAAGGGGUGCUAAUACCGGAUAAUAUCUCCGGACCAAAGGUUUAUCGACGUUGGAUGGGCCCGCGUUGGAUUAGCUAGUUGGUAGGGUAAAAGCCUACCAAGGCGACGAUCAAUAGCUGGUCUGAGAGGAUGAUCAGCCACACUGGGACUAAGACACGGCACAGACUCCUACGGGAGGCAGCAGUGGGGGAUAUUGGACAGUGGGCGGAAGCCUGAUCCAGCAAUGCAGCGUGAGUGAUGUAGGCCUUAGGGUUGUAAAGCUCUUUUACACGGGAGGAUAAUGACAGUACCGGGAGAAUAAGCUCCGGCUAACUACGUG